This 997-nucleotide long non-coding RNA is filed under the name Homo sapiens (human). RNAcentral's name for it is "long intergenic non-protein coding RNA 1707". Lineage: Eukaryota; Metazoa; Chordata; Mammalia; Primates; Hominidae. The record is from RNAcentral.
UUUCCUUCAAGUCCAGUUCUUUGAAAGUCCAAAUUUGCUCUGAACUGACUUCAAGCAAGUGCCCACUCUUGAACAAAUUACUGAGGCUGGAGGAUAAAGACACAAAUUGGCCAAACUUGGAUUACCUGCCUUCUGCAUCUUAAAGGAGUCAGUCCCAACUACAAAUUUAAGAGGAUCACAGAAACACCCACAAACUUACGAGGAUCACAGAAAACACCCCUACACCAACUUAUAGCCAAUCUAUUCAACCUGCAUUGUUAGCAGCUGAAAUGUGGAUGUGAUAGAAGAAGAUGAACUAUUUCUGAAUUCAAGAUGGACUCUGAAUUGAGAAGAUAGAUGCCUUGGACCUUAACACUAUUGAGCUAUCAACUAAACUGCAGACCACUUACCUUCAUAUUUAUGAAGUCUUGCUCUGUCGCCCAGGCUGGAGUGCAGUGGCACAAACUCGGCUCACUGCAAGCUCCAUCUCCUGGGUUCACGCCACUCUAGCCAGGAUGAUCUCCUGACCUCGUGAUCCGCCCGCCUCGGCCUUUCAAAGUGCUGGGAUUACAGAUGAGCCAUAUUUCUUCUGAGACUCUGCAGGGAACUGCCUGGAGCAUUUCUGAGCAUACCCGAAUGUAUAUAGGAUACAUUUUGAGAAACACGAUCACCAUAGCUUAUGGCUGUGAAACCUCAGUUGUAACAUCAAUAAAAUGGGAAGAACAAAAAAGUUGCUGUGAAGAUAAAAUGAGGCAGGUCCUGUCAACUGAUUGUGGAAGGAAAAUGAGAAUUUCAGAUGCCUGCUGAGAUCUGUGGAUGGAGUACUUUGUCCACAGGGCACUGAGCUCUGGCCAAACCAAAGACUUGUACUGCAUAGAUGUUCUUCAAUCUCUAUAGCUGGGAACUCUCUUCUUUUUGUAGUGCUUGCCCAUUGUAGAUGUUUAAUAAGUUUGCAUUACGUACAGGAGAAACUAUGAAAGUCCCUUAUAAAUAUAACAACCAUAAUGAUAAAAGGAAA